GAAGGAUGACCAGUGGAACUGUGCCGUGCCUCGAAGGAGGUAAGGGCUUGAGCGGGUCAAGUGAACCCUCACUCAACUUGAGAGCGUUCACCCUUGUGCUAGGCUCUCCUGCAGGUCUAUUCAGACUGCCCUCUCUUUGCUGAAGCUUUAGGGCUCUGCCUGCAUGAUGUUGGCUAGGUGAAAACUCUGCUUCUUCAAAGAAUUCAAAACUGCUGAGAUCACACCAUGAUGAAGAAUCCUGAAACAAUGUGGGAGGCACAGAACUCUGAGACGGUGUGUGCAUGAUAUGUGCCAUCACCUGAAACACAGUACUGAGAAAGAACACCGAAUGCAGAGAAAACACCUGGCCCUCUUGAGAAAUAGCGUCAGGAUUAACAACUGUUCCAGCACACCGCACGGCAGGUCUACCAUGCGGCCUCCAGGCUGGUCCUACGUGUGUGCUGCGGGGACCUCCGGGUAUUCUCUCAUUUGCAUGCAAUCCGAAGCAAAGAGAAAACCUUUUCUAGAUGGCACAUUUUGGCAACGUUCAUCCCGUUUGAUGGAUAUGCAGGUAAGUGCUUUUUAACCAACUGGCAACAAAGGAAAUGAACUGAACAUUUGCUUUUUAGGUGCCAACCUCACGUUUGUUUCACUAAAGAUGGUUUAUCUCAGUGAACCAGUGGGGCUGGUAAUCAAUCAUCAAUGUUUUGUGAAGAGAGCCAGGUACCAGCAAUGAACUCGCUACCACUCAAAUACACGGAACGACUGCUUAAAGGUCUAAGUAAACAUAAUUCUUAAUGUGCGAUCCAAAAGCAAAGCACAAUUCUAGGGGCGCCUGGGUGGCUCAUUCGGUUAAGCAUCCGACUCUUGGUUUUGGCUCAGGUCAUGAUCUCAUGGUUCGUGAGUCCAAGCCCUGCAUCGGGUUCUGUGCUGACAGCAUGGAGUCUGCUUGGGACUCUCUCUUUUCCUCUCUCUCUCUCUGCCCCUCCCCUGCUCUCUCUCUCUCUCUCAAAAUAAACAAAUCAACUUCAAAAAAUUAGAAAACAAAACUUAAAAACAAAAGCAAAGCACAAUUCUAAAGAAACACAAAAAAGUAACAAAUACGUUAAAAAUAACUCAAACAGUACUCCAUAACCCGAGAUCUACUUAUAGGUCAUCAACUUUACUAUUUUAAAAAGUAUGCAUUUUGAAGGAAAUGCGUGAAAAGCCACCUUUUAUCUGCAUAGCCUAUGAAAUCAGAUCUUUGAAAAAACAGACACAAAGGCUAAAAUCAUACUUUUACAUUCAUACAUGCUAAUAACAUGUUAUUUGCCAUAGAAAAUGGUAAUAAUUUGAGAACUGGGUUUCCUAAUUCACCAUCAAAAACAUUCACUUGCCUUAACAAUUCUACUUACAGAAUCUAUAAAUUGAAGUGUUUCUGCAAAUUCUAAGAGGUUCUUAACAUUAUCCAGAAUGGUGCCUUGGUGGACGAUCAUGCACCUUGCUGGAGAGGCACUUUCUUCAGGUAGGGAGCCAGGAUCCACAGGCAGAGAGGGAGUGGAGUGGUGUUCUUCCAAACAGGAAACAGGUGCACUGUCUCCAUGAGGUCUGGUGUGGUCAGCGAUGGUGGUGCUGUGCCACCCGGGGUAGCUGCAUGUGUGGUUCUGCGUCUAAGGAGGGGGAGGAGGGUGGGGGAAUAAAGAAAGAGUAGGGAGAAGAAAGGGAGAAGGAACUUAGCAAUGAAGUUGCACAAGGUAUCAGAUGCUGUUGGAGGAAAGAUAAAAGUAGUUGCAUCAUCCAAAACUUGCGCCUAUGAAACAGUCGUCAAGAUGUUUCCUUUUAUCGAUGCAAGACCCUGCUUUUUAAUAGUGGCAUAGUCUGUCACCUAUAUGAACACCCUCACUGUCAUCAUUUUGCUAAAACUGCCAACAGAGAGACUGUGUCCUCAAGUGCCACUCUCCCAUGGUCCAUCUUAAAAGUCUACUUUAACAUCAUCUCCAAAAGGACCACGCAUGGUUGCUGUGAACUAAGAAUUGUCCUGUUCUCAUUCUAACCUACAAAAAGGCCAGAGGACUCGAGAGUUAGAGUUGCUUUUGUCUGCAUAUGUUCUCAUUGCUUCUAUCCCUUUUUAAUGUUACGGAUUGCACUGAUGCAGUGAAGGGCUGUCAAAUCAACGUGGUUAGGAAAGCAGAAGGGCAAAUUAACAGAAGUCUCCUUUCGGCAUGACCAUGCAACAAGAGAAAUUGCAAAACAUGAACUAGAGUUAAAAAGUGGUCGAACUAACAUAUGCACAUAAUCAUCUUAUGAUUUAGCCCCAAAGACAUGUAUUCCUAAGAAUACCCACUGGGUAUCACAUCUCUUUUAUUCUCUUUGUUGCUGAACUAACUCUGUCACAAAGUACACGCUGAUUUCUCAGUUUGCAGCCAAUCACCGAAAAGAUGUCAAAAUUCAGUAAUGGUCCACACGGCUUUCAUGCAUGCAAACAGAAGAGAGCAGCCGUGUUAUAGACAGAGAGAGGAUGUGUAUCUCUUUCACAGGUAUAUACUGAACAUGCUUCAAAUCAUAUGUGAAAUUAGCAAGUAUGAAAAUGUAGGUUAAGAAAAAUAAUAAAAGAAAAAAUCAAAUGAGUAGGUAUCAUACAGAUACAUAACUUUGUAAAUAAAAGCAGAUUUUCAUUCAUUUAUAUCUGUUAGUCGGUCUUUGAAUUAGUAACAGUCCUGGAAAAACAGGAAGAUUGAUGGUGACAAUCACAAGUGGAUAUUGUGUUUGUAUUGCCACUCAAAAGGGCUACUUUUAAUUUAGUCAACACACAUGGUGAUACCGACUGCAUUUUAUUACAAGCAACUUCUGUUCAAACAGUGUUAAUGAAUGGGCAUCUAGGCAGCUCAGUGGGUUAAGCCUCUGACUUCAGCUCAGGUCAUGAUCUAGUGGUUCGUGAGUUCCAGCCCCAUGUUGGGUUCUGUGUUGACAACUCAGAACCUGGAGCCUGCUUCAGGUUCUGUGUCUCUUUCUUUCUCCCUGCCCCUCCUCCACUCACUCUCUGUCUCUCUCUCAAAAAUAAAUAAACAUUAAAAAUUUUUUUUGAAACACUAUUAAUGGAUCUACAGUCUUGAUUAGUGUAACACUCAGAAGAGAAGGGAAAAGAGACAGGAGGGCACCGGGGUGAAGUUCUCCCCACAUUCAAGCACCUGGUUGCCUUCUUACCGGUAGCGCCUGCUGUCCUUUGAGCUCAUUCUCAGUCGACAUUAGGAGCAAUUCUAAUUCCUUUAUUCGCUUUUCUUUCUCAGGGUCUUCAUCAUUAUAGUGUCUCUGAAAUUAAAAGUAAAGGAAGAAAAACAGAGAAGGGCCUGAUUGAAGCUACUGCAGAUACAAUGGCUGUGGCCUGCAAUCAUGAGGGGCCAUACAGCCCAGUGAGCCUCAGCGUGAGACUGGCACCAACGAAAUGUGGCACAAAGCUCUGUGAGUGUCAUUCCACACCUAAGGGAGUGAUGUGAAAUCUGAGGCUCAAGUGGGUGCUGACUGAUGAGCUGGUUCAACUUAUGACAUCAGAGAAUCAGAGAAUUCCUGAGCAGGUUUAACUCUAGAAGUGAAGAUUGGUAGCUUGCUGGCCAGAACUCUACCCACCCCUCUGCUACUCCCUUUUUUUUUUUUUUACAUCAGUCAGUCGAGCGAAAAUAAGUAUUUACAUGAAAGAAAUAAAGCAUGUCUUGAAAAAGUUGCUUUGAACAGCCAACGGGUUUCUUUACGAAAUGGUCUUCACAUGAUCUUACCUGAAUGGCUGCAGCAGCUGGCUGAGGGACAUUGACUAUAUUUACAUGUAACGCUACAGGAUAUGGGACAUGACCGGAGACCUAGAUCAAAAAGGCAGACAAACAAAGGCCGAGUCAUUCAUGGUCACACACGCUUCAGGGGAAUUGGCUUCCUCUAGGAUUGAGAAAAAAAAUACUGUACUAAUAAAAUUCACACAUGCACAGAGGAAAAAAGAAACACAACAAAAAACCCUCUAGUUUGAAAUUUUAGCCAGGCCUUUAAAAAUAGCCAAAUAAAUAGCUUACGCAACGUAAAGAGAUUUGGAGUGCUCGUUGAUCUUGACAAAAAGCAUCCCUUAAUUAGAGAAUAACACAAUGAAAAAUAUAACCUAAAAUAUAUUCAUGAAGCUAUGAAAGAAGCUGUAAUGGGAAAAACUGAUGACUUAGUUGUUUAUAAUAGAAAUAUUUUUCUUGGAAUAACUAUUAGUUAUAGUAAAGAGCACAGAACUGCCUAUGAUGGUUCACUCAUCUGAGACUUUUCUGGAAAGUCUGUAGUCAAAUGAAUGAUAGAACAGACAGAGAAGAAUAAAAACUAUUCAGGAAUAUGAUUUGAAUAUAACUUGCACACGGGCUCCAUAUUCUUGGCUAAGUUUCACCAUCUAUUACUGUUAGUUGUAAGAUUCAAGUUCACUGAUUUUAUUCUUUAUGCUUCGUAUUUUUCUUUCCCCACCCAUUCUGGACAUUUCUUUCCCUAAAUAUAAAUGUCUGGCAAUCAGGAAGGCAUCACACUGAUCCAAAGGAGGACGAAAGAAGACAUCAGAGAGUGGUGUCACAGAACUGCACCUGACUCGGAGUGAGAAGGUAAACACACGUGGAAGGAGCAAAUUAAGACUUUUCUCCUAGAUAGAUCACUACCAGAAUCAAACUUUACAGAAUCAAACUUGCCGCAUUUCAGUGUCAAAGGAUCUCUGCUUUAAAUUUAAUAUGACAUUCACUUUUCAUUUUGGAAGAGAAAAACAAAAGCCCACAAAUGCAUCUUCAUGACCCCAUUCUUCUCCGGCAGGAACUUGUUAAGUGGAUUUACAUUCAAAAGCUAAUCUGAUCUGAAGCACUUCAGUUGGAAUCCAAAAGCCUGGACUGCAGGCUGCCCUACGAGCUGUGCACCUCUGCAGAUUACUUAACAUCCUGGCUUCCCAGCAUACACCAGGGGUAAGGAUACCUCCCCCUAUCUACCUCGAGGCUCUGAAGUGGGGUGAUCACCUUUGUGGAAGGUCUUUGAAAAGUCAGCGGCUGCGAGGUAUUACUGUUACCUGGGGCUAACAUAACCAUCUCUUUCAGUAAACUAAAUUCUCAGAAAUGGCUUACGUUUUGCGCUUCAGAAAUGUGGUAAUAGGAAUAAUCAUUGUUAACUGAAGUCUGGCCAGCUGGAGGGAGAUGAGCUGAAGGUGGGGCAUGAGCAAAACCCAUCAAAUGACUGUUCUUCUGAAAACUUGUGGCCACUGUUGGCGGGCUGGCUUUAGAAGACUCUUGCAGAUAACCUUCCUGCUCGACCUUCCGACGCAUUGUAGAAUUCCAGUGGUUCUUGAUAGCAUUAUCAGUUCUGCACAGAAAUAUAUCAUGUAAGAAUUUUACAAAAAAACAUUUUAAUUCAGAUUAGAGUUAAUUGACAGAAAACUGUUUCCCACAGAGACGUCUUCUUUGGGUCUUUUGUUUUUUGUGUUUUCUUUUAAAUUGUUUUAGUCUUCCCGACCUCUGAAAGUCAUGCUGCCUCUAUUAUCUAAUUGAAAAUCCAUAGAUUUUCCUUCAUUACACAAGAUGGAAUAAAUGUGGCUUUCGAGAAAUCUUUAAAUUUUGUAACUAUUUUGUUUCCUUGAUAAAAGAGAAUUUUCGAUACAAACCCUUCCUGUUUAUUCUGAGUGUUCACGGUACAAGACUCUAAUACAACUUAAAGAUCCAACUAUUCUGGAAAAUUACCGGCUUAGUAGGGCCUACACACCCCAACAGGCACACAGUAAAGUUUGGUGAAUGAUAAUGAUGUCGCCACUGCCUCACUGUCCACUCUUUGUCUCGAAUAGCACUAGCCAGAAAUUUUGAGUAAAAAAAAAAAAAAAAAAAAGGGAAAAAGAAAAAAAGAAACUCCCACCUUUUGACGGCCAUCUCAAAUUGUUCUAUAACCAGAGGUGACAAUGGAAAAUGGGAUCCAGAAGGGGAAAGAUGCUACAUCCCCAUAUCAGUUCAAACUGAAAAGCAUUUUCACUAAAGUCUUACAGUUCUCAGGAAAAGUUUCUCAAUUCAAAAAAAAAAAAACGUUUUAGGCCUCCCUUUUACUAUUUUGAUGGGGGUGGGGGCAUGUAUGCUAAAGAAAGAGGAAGUUCAGUUGCCCCUUAAAUUUUUACAAGAAUCAACAGCAUAUUCUCAGGCCAGAUGGGAGAAAAGACCUUCUUUCCUCAAUAUCUUGGAUCCUGUAAGCUGAUAGGGAGCCAUGAGGGAGGCGGUGCUCUGGACCAUCACCCAAGAAUGCUACAUAAACCAUCAGAGCCAUGGCCUUCUUUGAAGGUCCCUUUCUCCAAUUCUGCUGCCUAAGAAUAUAAUUUAUUAAAUAUUUUCUUACAUUGUUUAUAUAAGAUUUAUAAUGAAGAGUAUCUUCCAAAUUAAAGAAAAUGUGUCAUAAACUGUUCAAGUGGGGAGAGUGCGACAAAAAUGAGCUUCUAGAGAUAUCCUUCACGAUGAGGUCAUUUUUUGUGCCUUGUUCAUUAAAAGAAAGCAUAACACUGACAUUGUUUAAAAACCUGGAAGCAGUAGGAUAAUUCUAGAAAUACUCUUAUUUCUUUCUUUAAAAGAAAAAAACUAAGCCAAGUGGUAUAAUGAAAUGAAUGUUGGUAUCAGGAAAAUGAUAGCUGAGAUCCUUCUGGUCACUUAACCAGCUGUAUGAACUCAGACCAGAGGCAAAAUGUCUACCCUCAGUUUGCUUCUCUGUGUUUAGAGUUCUAUAGUUUACGAAGUGCUUUGACAAUCAUUUUAUUCGAUACAAACAUUGGCCCUGUGAAGUAGGCUAUUAUUUAUUUUGCAAAUGGGGCAACUGAAGCUGAGGAGAGUUCAAUGACUCGGCCCAAAGUUCACUGUUGGAUGGAUUCUGGAAGUUCCCAACCAGAUAAACUCUAAGAGCUCCUCCAGUUUUAAAACCUAUGGAUCUGGCAUAUCUAAUGAAACACUUACAAUCAUGGGAAUGUAAUUCACUCGCUAUACAUUUAAAACAAAAUGUUCAAUACCCACUCCCUCAUUCUUCCCAAUCAAUAUAUUUUUUGACAUAUUAUUACCGUCCAGGCAGUAGCUUUGCGAUUUCUGCCCAUCUGUUCCCCAGUCUCUUGUGUGCCUGGUAAAUAAUUCUGUCUUCCUCUUCUGUCCAGGAGGUUUUCUUAACUUCUGGAUUCAAAUGGUUAUGCCACCUCUCCCUACAUUGUUUUCCAAUUCUCCCUUUUAAGUGCUUGGCAAUAACAGACCAACGUUUCGGACCGUAUUUCUGUACAAGCUCUAUCACCUUCAGAUAAACACACAAAAAUAACCUAUGUUUUAAUGUUAUGUAAUGACUCAGUGUAAUCAUUCUUCAGUGUUACAAGAUCUUUAGAAAGGGUCUAAAACUCUGCUUUCAUUCAUUGGAAAUAUGGGAAUAGAGUCCUCUGCUUCCUGUUUGUACACUUUACCUGUUUCUUCAAGUUGGGAAACAUUUAAUUAAGAUGUCUGGGGAAUAUUCUUAACUGUGAUUCGCACACCAAUGAGGAAAGAACUUACUCUCUGAUCUUCUUCUUUGGUCCAAGGCCCCUUGAUGAGCUCAGGGUUUAGUACUUUCUGCCAUCGGUGCUGGCACUGCACAUCUGUUCGAUUCUAGACAAAUAAUAAAGUAUGCACUGUCAUAUAGAUAUGAUGCGAUAAGCACAUGAAGACUUGGUUAUUGUAUGAAUCAUACACAGACAAUAUACAGGAAACACGUUCAGGAACAUUUUAGGGCAUGUUUGGAGAGCCUAUCUAUCCCUCAUUGCUUACAGCUAACAAACAUACAAAGAAUAUAUCAAAAUUGGAUCUAAAAUUAGAAGCUCUACCUGUUAAGUGAAAUAAUCCUGCCAUGCGAACUGAAGGACCCUCAUAUUGUACACAUGGCUGUCGAUUUAACUCAACCUUAACUUCAGCAUGUGGAAGUGCCUCUAUGAACUAAGACUUGUUAGCGAUUCCACAUGAAGGUUGGGCUUCCAUGGAAACCUACUCUAAAUGAUUAAAGUUUGCCUCCCAUUCAACCUAAGAGAUGCACUUCAGUUUAGGGCCUCAAGUAUUAAUACUGCAGAACAAAAAUCAAUAAAGAUAGGAUGAGAGAGUAUAAUCUUAUUAAGAGAGUAUAAUCUUAUAAGAAAAAAAAAAGACAGAUAUGUAACUAACUAAUAGAAGGCAGAAUUUGAUUCAUAUGCAAGAAGAAACCAAAGCAAAAUUAUAUUGGGCUGAGAGCAGAAGCUUUUCCUCAGGAGCAGAAAUUAUGUUUCCUUAGGAGGUGUCUGCAAAAGCUCUUGAUAGGGACUUUGAAGGAUGGAUGGAACAUUCUAGGAGGUGGCAUCACCAAGGACAAAAGCCCAAAGGAGGUAAAGCAGAAAUUAAUUCAACCAAACCUGCUGACAGAGAGGAAGUAGGAAAGUGAACCGGAGCUGUAUGCUGGAGCCGUGUGGAAG
Molecule: long non-coding RNA, 8419 nt
Filed under: Lynx pardinus (Iberian lynx)
Lineage: Eukaryota; Metazoa; Chordata; Mammalia; Carnivora; Felidae
Source: RNAcentral